AAGAUAGAGCAUCAGAACGAAGUGGUGCGGCGCAGGAGCAAUCCCUUUAUUUUUCAAGGUUCCCUCGCAUAUAUGUACUGCAUUCAUUUUAAGAAGAACAUGUAGCCUUGUUUUAGGACUUUAGGCCAACCCAUCUGUAUUUAUGGAGAAGAAGUUGUGACUUGUAGCAUUAUUUCUCAGCAGAGAAUUGACUUCCAACAACUGUAGGUGAAUUUUCUUUGAUUCUUUUGUAUUUUCAAUACAUUUUGGUGAGCUUUUGUUUUUGUUUUGGCAUUUUUUCUAGAACCUUAGGAUUUUUUGUGGUAGAUUGUGAAAUGGGUUUAUAGGGUUUCCAUGAAAGGUUUAAAUAUUCUUGGUGUUCUUGAUAUUUUGGCUUUUUGAUCUAGAAUGAAUGACAAUAAAAAUUUAAAUGUGUUUUUGGUGGUUUAUGGGCUUUUGUGUUUGUGGGUUGUUCUAGGUUUUGAUUUGGCAAAUAUUUUGCCCAAAAUUUUACUAAGUGUUUGAGACAAUUUGGUGGAUUGUAGAAUGAGAAAAUGCUUGUCUUGAUAUCACAUAUUUACUUGGGGAUUGUAGAGAGUUAUAAUUGGUGGACCCAAUGUCAUCCAUCAGUCUUGGGAUUGUAGUGUACCAAAGAGGGUCACUCCCAAAUUGUGUAUCCGUCUUGGGAUUGUAGGGUACCAAAGAGGGUCACUCCCAAGUUGUGUAUCCGUCUUGGGAUCGUAGGGUACCAAAGAGGGUCACUUCCAAGUUGUGUAUCCGUCUAGGGAUCGUAGGAUACCAAAGAGGGUCACUCCCAAGCUGUGUAUCCGUCUUGGGAUUGUAGGGUACCAGAGAGGGUCACUCCCAAGCUGUGUAUCUGUCUUGGAAUCGUAGGGUACCAAAGAGGGUCACUGCCAAGCUGUGUAUCCGUCUAGGGAUCAUCACGUGCCGGAUGAGGGGGCACCUCCGUGUUGGUGUCCCUAGUAAAUAAAAGGACGGUCAUGGGGAUAUGAACAAAAAACCUCUUUUCUGACGUAGGUGUGAUAAAGAAUGGGGUACCACUUUAGGCUGUCCCUAGCGUAGGAAACUGAGUCUUUUGUGGAUCGUGAACAAGUGUUAUGCGCUUUAAUGGGACACUUUUAUUGGUGUCUAGUGGAAUCGUUAUGUGAGAAUAGAGCCUUCGAGGUUCUAUGUCAUUAAUGUGUUGUGUGAAAUAGCCAAUUAGGAUUUUUGUGUUGCAAUAUCAUAUAUAUAUAUAUAUAUCUUUAAGAUUUUGACAACCUAUGUCAUGAAUAGGAGUUUAUGUCGAGCGUCGGGAGUGCGUUCUACCCCGCAUUUGUAGAGGUAGAUUCCGAUACUGAUAGUAAUGGUCAUCAGGUUAUCAAUAUGGAUGACGACUUUGGUGAUGAUGUCCUAGAUGCUUUGCCUAUUAAUCAUGUUAUAGUGGUAGAUGAUUAUUAUGGUGGGGAUAUUGAAGACCACGAUGUCGUCGGGUUGGCGGUACCUGGCGAAGAAGCUCCAGUGAUGGGUUAUGUCUUGGCGCAACUAGUGGGUGAAGAUGAUGGGCCAAGCUUUUCUGGCAGAUCACAAGGUAUUUUACGGGCAAAUCCUGAAACCCAACUAACAGUUCCCCUUUUAGCUAAGAUGAGAUUAUCUUUCGGUAUUCCUCGUAGUAUUAAGAUGAGGUUACCCAAGUUUGUCAAACGGGUCGAUUGGGAUACCCCCGGUUGGUGUGGUAUGUAUGAGUACACCUUUCAUCAAGGCUUCAGGUUACCCUUCCCUCUUUUUGUUUCAAAAGUACUUAACUGGUAUCAUAUAGCCCCUAGUUAGCUAAUGCCUAAUGCAUGGAGAGUGCUCUUAGGCAUCGAAAGGUUUGCUGAGGUGUUCGGGAUGAGUGUUGAGUUAUUAGAGUUUCGUGCUCAUUACACAGUGAGAGAACAUGAUAAAGAGAAGGGAAGAUAUAGUUUUGUGUCUCGUAAUGAAGAAAAGUCCUUGGUUUGUAAUAUAAAAUCCAAUGACCGUUGGUGGAAAGAACCUUAUUGUUUCUUCCAUGGAAAAGAAAUGUUCUCGCCUGGAGCCGAUAGUUUUCCUACUAGUUGGCGGGUAUUAGAUAAAGAAUUGACCAAACUUCCUGCUUUGUCGUACGAUAGUGACCAGAAUUUGAAGAAAAUUUUAGCCAUCCCUGAAAAGCAAUGAAGUUGGAAGAAAUUGCUAAAGGAAUCAAAUUUGACUUCCAGUUUUCUUUGGAGCAAAGUCGAGGGGCGGAGUGAAGAAGAAGAACGUAAUCUAGCGGAUAAAUUUUUGAAAAAGAUGUCAUUCAAAAUGCCUUCCAGUCCUGAUGCCUUGGCAAAAGCCAAGAAAGCGGCGAGUAAGAAGAAAGGCCAUUCGUCGACUGUAGAGCCAUCAAUAAACCCCGUGCCCUCAAAGAGUAUUGUUCCUUCAAAGGUCAUCGAAGGAGGAUCAAGCAAGAGGCCUAGGGUUGAUUUUGAUGAGGAAGAAAAUAUCUCUGUCACCAUUCCAAGGAAUACUUGUGUGUAUUCGAACCCUUUGUCUAUUGAAGGAUAUGUCGAAGCCCUCUUGUGUCCUCGUGAUGAGACUCGUUUGAAAGAAAUGGGAUCCGUCGAGUCAUCCAAUGAUUUGGUGUCUGGAGCCUAUCGGAUGCUUUCUAAUGCGAUUCAUAUUCGUCGAGACCAUCAACGCCUCGGAAGGAAAAAACCGUGAUCUUAAAAAGUCCAACACCGAGCUUCGAUCGGGUCUUACGAAAGUUGACAAGAUGCUUAAGGCAAGUAAAGAAUUAAACGAAGAGUUGAAGAGGCAAUUAAAGGAUAAAGAGAGCCUUUUGAUGCUCUUUGUUGAGCCUUUUGAAUGUCGAAUUGUGCUCUCUGUUGUAUUGUUGAGGUUUUUUAUGUUAAAUCAUGCGUUUCACUACAGUUGAAUGUUGGUAGUCAACUAUGAUUGAAGUUUAAUGAAUAUCACACAAUUUGACCAAGCAUAAAGUGAUUGUGAUCAUGGUCCUCUACAGGAGGUAUGUGAUUAUGUCAGAUAGCACCAUUGGUAGUAUUCUACAAUAAUAUCAUACGAUAGGCGACAAACAAUAGUUAUUCAUCAUCCAUCUGUUUAGAGAUCCAUUCAUUGGUCUGAGGACCGUCAAGUGCCAACAAUACCUAUUUAUGGCCAUCCAUCCGACUGGUAUCCACCAUCCGUCCAGGGUCCAUCCAUCCGUCUGGGGAUGGUCGUGUGACAAAAAGUGCCAACCUAGGGCAAGCCAUCCGGUUAGGGAUUGUCACGUAACAAGGAGUGGAAACCUUGGGCCAACCAUCCAUCUGGGGAUGGUUAUGCAACAAGGAAUGCCAGCUUAUGGCAAUCCAUCCAUCUGGGGAUGGUGUCUACCAUCCGUCCGGGGUCCAUCCAUCCGUCCGGGGAUGGUCGUGUGACAAAAAGUUCCAACCUAGGGCAAGCCAUCCGUUUAGGGAUGGUCAUGUAACAAGGAGUGGCAACCUUGGGUCAACCAUCCAUCUGGGGAUGGUUGUGCAACAAGGAGUGCCAACCUAUGGAAAUCCAUCCAUCUGGGGAUGGUUGAUUUUGUAUGUAAAACUUGACCAAGUGUAAAUUUUAUUGUAAAAUGACAAUAUUCAUA
This is a long non-coding RNA of Humulus lupulus (European hop), 3616 nucleotides long. RefSeq lists it as uncharacterized. NCBI's taxonomy places the organism in Eukaryota, Viridiplantae, Streptophyta, Magnoliopsida, Rosales, Cannabaceae. The record is from RefSeq and is a predicted model, not a curated record. The transcript has 4 exons.